RNAcentral lists this ribosomal RNA (406 nucleotides) under uncultured bacterium. RNAcentral's name for it is "partial 16S ribosomal RNA". It matches the Rfam family "Bacterial small subunit ribosomal RNA", at positions 30 to 526 of the family's 1533-position model. The record is from RNAcentral.
AUUGAACGCUGGCGGCAGGCCUAACACAUGCAAGUCGAGCGAGCGGCGGACGGGUGAGUAAUGUCUGGGAAUCUGCCUGAUGGAGGGGGAUCACUACUGGAAACGGUAGCUAAUACCGCAUACCAUCAGAUGACCCCAUAUGGGAUUGGCUAGUAGGUGGGGUAACGGCUCACCUAGGCGACGAUCCCUAGCUGGUAUGAGAGGAUGACCAGCCACACUGGAACUGAGACACGGGCCAGACUCCUACGGGAGGCAGCAGUGGGGAAUAUUGCACAAGGGGCGCAAGACUGAUGCAGCCAUGCCGCGUGUAUGAAGAAGGCCUUCGGGUUGUAAAGUACUUUCAGCCGGGAGGCGUUACCCACAGAAGAAGCACCGGCUAACUCCGUGCCAGCAGCCGCGGUAAUUC